UGUAGUAGUUGCUCCGGAAGAAUGGGUAGCUCUCGCCGAUCUGCACGCGCAAAUUUGUGGCAAAUUCGAAUUGAAGGCAAGGCCUCUUGGCGAUCCGUCAGCCGGUAGGCCUGUCUCUGUGUAGCGUCUAGACUCAAGAAUAUGUGCCUGCCAAAAUCAUAGGUCUACUUUGUGUGUGCGUACUCUUUGUUUGUGACUUCUGAAUUUUUAUGUCCGCUGGGCUAGGCGUCUUAUAUGGGUCAAGUAUUGACCAAUCUCUUAAGCUUCAUUUGGAUGUAGAUGUUGAAUUGAGAUGAAUACCAAUAUUCCUGGAAAACAUAA
Molecule: long non-coding RNA, 321 nt
Organism: Brachypodium distachyon (stiff brome)
Lineage: Eukaryota; Viridiplantae; Streptophyta; Magnoliopsida; Poales; Poaceae
Exons: 2
Source: RefSeq, a predicted model, not a curated record